AGGGUGAAUGGCAGUGAGAAACAGCUCUCUGAACUGACCUUGGGAGACCUGGAGAUUUUCCUAAGGAAGAGCGUGGACCAAAGCACGCAGGCAAGAAAGCACAUAAAGUCUUUAAGACAAUGGGAGCCUGACAAGACUCAAGAAAAGCACCGGCUGGAGGGAAACGGGGCAGAUGUGGCAAGAAAGGUUAUUUUAAACAAGUUGUGAAAGACCUGGACGCGAGACCAAGGGAUUUGGAGAUUGUAAAGUAGAAAGUCACUGACGUUUUUUAAGCUGGGUGAGAACGUGGCCAGAUCGCUCAAAGAAGAAAAAAAAAAUGUUGUUUUCUUUUCAGUAACUAAAAGCCAUAGAUCUAACUUCCUCCAUUUUUAUAUUUCUUGAGACUUCAUGAAAAUACAAAACAAAGACCAGCCGAAGCAAUUCUUUCCUCGCCUGAUCUGAACCCUGCGUGGUGGUUUUUUUUUUUUUUUUUUUCUUUUCCUUGUUUUCUGGCAGCUCUCUUGGUGAAGCGAGUGCAUCACACAGCUGGGAAAACACGAGCUUCUCAGUUUGUUUGGCUUCUGAGCUAUGUGGGUGAGCGCGAGUCUGGGCAGUGUGUCAGCUCCUUCCUGAAAGUCUGGGUCACGGAAGUCCACAGCACAACCUUGUUUACGCGAUUUUGCUUCCAGCGUCGAGAACACUGGUUGUGAUUACUGCAAAGGUGUAUGUGGUCACCGUUGGCUCUCAACCCUGCAAUUCCUUUGAAAAGAUGAUCUGACUGGGACAACGGUGACCUUAAAGUAACACCUCUGUUUCUUUAGAAAGCCCCGGAUGAAAAGCCAUGCGUUGUUUUCCCCACUGCCUUUGUGCUUGGCUAACCGCGAUAGCUUGUGGGCUCCCUGGGAGUCGUCCUGGGAGACGGAGUUUGCUGGGCUAGCAGAUUCGGCUGGGAGACGAUGAGUGAGUGACCAGUCUGAAGCAACUCUUCCAGCCCAGACACGUGAAGUUACAGUUCAUCAACACAUGUUUACAUGACUGUCUGCUGUGUGCCGGUCACUGGGAAGCCAGAUGAAUAAGACAGUUUCUAUCCCGGUCUGCUAACUAACUUGAAAACUCCUCCAAGCAUCCAGAUACAAGGCUCCAUCCAACACCGACCUCAAAUGCCAGAAUAAAAUGCUCACUCGGCCAAGCCUGCUCUGCUGAGGCUACGCAAGGAGAUGACCAGACCUUGUGAAAACACAGGGAGGGUGCAGGAAGGAAGUGGGAUACGAUUUUCCGGCCCGGAUUGAAAAAUCUGUUCCUAGCGCAGAUGUCUGCCAAGUAUAGAGUGCUUUGAAGAUACUUCGUUUUCAUGGGAAGCUGAGUUUGAAAAAGCAGAACAGAAAGAAGAGGUGAGGGACUCCAGGCUGCAGAUGAGAGAUCCAGUGGUCUUGUGAGGUCGGAAAGUUGCAAAGCACCUUCAAGAAGCGUGAUGUGUUACCAGGAAGCCCGAUCGGAAGCGGAGCAGCCAGGACUUGAACAAGCGCUCAGAUGGGAUGCCCGCAUUGCAGGUGACGGCUUAACCUGCUGUGCCACAGCACUGGCAGGGACUUUGUUUCUUUCUGCUGUUUAUUACCAGCACCCGGAAGAGUGCCUGCAGCUAACUAGUGCUCAGUAAGUCUCUGAAUUCAUGUUGGCCAACGCUGGGACUCUGUGGGCAAGGCUGCGGGCGGGGGUGGGGGGAGGCCAGGCUCCUUUCCCCACCGGGCCCUUGCCCUUGACCUUGCCCCUGGCUCCUUGCCCAGCGCCAUCCUUCCCGACUCACAGGAUGACCUCACACGAGCACUGUCUCUUUCUCACCUGCCCUCCCUCCCUCCCGGUGUCUCCAAGUGCAUGCAGACCAAAGCAGGUCUUGAGUUGAUGUUUCUCGGGAGGCUGGCCUAUGGGAUUUCUCUUUACUCUGCUAGCUCCUGUCUCUGGCCAGAAAAUGCUCAGCGUGUGUCUCUUAAAGUCACAGAGAUCAGAGUGACGCUGUCCUUUAAGCAGUGGUUUCCAAGCGGCCUCUGCCCAGUCGAUGCCAGCAGCACCGGCAGCACCCAGGAAUGUGUUAAAAAUGCAGGUUCUGGAACCCAUCUCCCAACCCCGGAAGACUGAGGCCCAGCAAUCUGCGCUUCUGAGAUCCCAGUGCGUAGCUUGGAAACCACUGCCCCAAGCCUCGGAGUCACUCCCAGACAGUGGUUCUCAGAUGGGACCCUUCUGUCCCCAGCAGGGCAUUCGGCGGUGUCUGGAGCGUUUCUCGUUGUUGAAGCUGGGCAGGUGCCACUGGCAUCUGGUGGACAGAAGCCAAGGUUGGGCUAACUCUCUUCGGACGCACAGGGCCGCCCCGCGUCAGAGAAUUAUCCAGCCCAGGUGGCAGCAGUGCCCAGGCUGAGAAAGCCUGCUCUCAGCUCUCCUUACCUUUCCCAUCCGUUCAGCUCUCCCUCCCUUCUUUCCUCUAACAUUUUCUGAGCAGCUAUAAUAACUGCUAGCAGUUAUAAUAACCAACCUGCCCAUCUCUGACAGUCAACUGUUGCGAGGAAGGCACAAAACUGGGCACCAGCUUUGUGGAAAUUUCCGUGCACAGAGACACUUAAGCUGACCUUUCAAUCCACUAUGUCAAGUGACAUCAGGGAGAAUGCUCCCAUCCCACAGGGGAAACCUCAGUGAGGGCUUCCUGGAGGAAGAGGCCUCUGUGCAGAGACUUCAAGACAGAGUUGGAAUUAGUCAAGGGAGCGAGCAGUAGAUAGGUAAUCACUUUCACAUGUGGAGCACUUCGUAUGUUUCAAUCGUCGUGCUGAGUGUUCAACCAACACUUUCUCAACUGAUCCCUGCAAUACCUGAGGUUGACACUACUGUUCUGUCCAUUGUACAGACAGGAACACUAAAGCCCAGAGACAUGAAAUACCUUGCCUACUGUUACUCAGCUGGGAAAUGUUGAAGCAGGAAUCGGAAUCCAUGUCUGUGGACUCUAAAGCCUAGAAGCAGAUGGUUGCUAUUUAUAGAGGGCACAGAAUUUUUUAAAACAUGCAGUGAACCCUUGGGUAUGGGCAGAUUUGUGUCUGUCCCCACCUCAAAUUCCUACGUUGAAUUCCCAAGCCCCAGCACCUUAGGAUGUAAUGGCGUUUUGGAGAGAGCUGCUUCAGAGGGGAUUCGGUUACUGAGGCCUUCAGAAUGGGCUUGAAUCCAAUGUGACUUGUGAGCUUGUAAGGACAGGAAGAGAUGGCAGGUGUGCAGGUGCACACAGCAGGCCAUGUGAGGACACAGGACGAAGGUGGCCUCUGCAGGCCGGGGCGGGGAGGCUCGGGAGAAGUCACACCUGCCCACACCUUCAUCUUGACCAUCUCAAAGCCUCCAGAACUGCGAGGAAGAUAGUUAUCUUGUUUCAGCCACCGGAUCUGUGGUCCUUUGCCACAGCAGUACCUUGUUCCUUCUUUGGGGGUAUGGCUUUUAUGGAGAACGUAAGGGCUGUUCAUUGAGCUCUGCUUUGUCUGCUGCAGAAUUAACCAGAAUGAGAGCCCUGGGACUUGCCCCUCUCCUUUUCCCCAGACUUGGGGCACCGCUGAACUAUAGCUGCUGGGAGACAAUGGCUCCUCCUGGCUUGUAUAAGACCUGAAAUUCAUGGAGACUGAGCAGGGUGUCCGCGGGGAGAGACAGCCUUAAGUGGGAGAGGCGGAUUCUCGGUGGUAAACAGGUAAUAGAGAUCUGAGGUUGCCGCCACGGAGGACCGAAGCCCUAUUUCCAUGUAGCAUCAUGAAGAACGGCUGUUGGACACCCGGCCCUGGCUGACAAUGCUGAAAUUCUUACUCAGCAGAGCACUGGGACCUGCAAUCAGAGAUCAUGGGCAUUUUGGCGACUGCCAGCGUGGACUCACGCUUGCAGGACCACUAAGAAGUUUCUCUCUGCUUCUGAGCCCUCUAGCUAAUGGUGCUCCUGGAGGGCGUGGGCUGCCAUUAGCCCCAGUAAAAGCUGAGAUGGAAUCUGCUAUCAGCCCCGAGAGAGGGAGGGCCCAUGUUAGACUGCGCUGAGUGUAAAGUUCAAAGGAAAGCAACGUGGUGUUUUUGUACACCCAAAUUCAUGCAUGGAGAUUCAAACCAACUGUGCUUGACAGCAGAAUUAGGAUACCAAAGAGCAAGGCAGAAGCUACAUCAAGAGAAGGCUGCAGGGGCCAGCGCUGUGGCACAGUAGGUUAAAGCCCCAGCCUGCAACACCGGCAUCCCAUAUGGGCACCGGUUCUAGUCCCGGCUGCUCCACUUCUGAUCCAGCUCUCUGCUAUGGCCUGGGAAAGCAGUGGAAGAUGGCCCAAGCGCUUGGGCCCCUGCACCUGCGUGGGAGACCCGGAAGAAGCACUUGACUCCUAGCUUCGGAUCAGUUCAGCUCUGACCGUUGCGGUCAUCUGGGGAGUGAACCAGCAGAUGAAGGACCUCUCUCUCUCUCUCUGGCUCUACCUCUCUGUAACUCUG
This is a long non-coding RNA of Lepus europaeus (European hare), 4457 nucleotides long. RefSeq lists it as uncharacterized. The record is from RefSeq and is a predicted model, not a curated record. NCBI's taxonomy places the organism in Eukaryota, Metazoa, Chordata, Mammalia, Lagomorpha, Leporidae. The transcript is spliced from 3 exons.